UUGCCUACGGGGCGCAGCAGUCGGGAAUAUUGCGCAAUGGAGGAAACUCUGACGCAGUGACGCCGCGUGCAGGAAGAAGGUUUUCGGAUUGUAAACUGCUUUAGACAGGGAAGAAACAAGACAGUACCUGUAGAAUAAGCUCCGGCUAACUACGUGCCAGCAGCCGCGGUAAUACGUAGGGAGCAAGCGUUAUCCGGAUUUAUUGGGUGUAAAGGGUGCGUAGACGGGAAGGCAAGUUGGUUGUGAAAUCCCUCGGCUUAACUGAGGAACUGGAACCAAAACUAUCUUUAUU
This 292-nucleotide ribosomal RNA is filed under the name uncultured bacterium. Its description in RNAcentral is "partial 16S ribosomal RNA". It matches the Rfam family "Bacterial small subunit ribosomal RNA", at positions 335 to 643 of the family's 1533-position model. The record is from RNAcentral.